RNAcentral lists this ribosomal RNA (477 nucleotides) under Triticum aestivum (bread wheat). RNAcentral's name for it is "partial small subunit ribosomal RNA". The record is from RNAcentral. Lineage: Eukaryota; Viridiplantae; Streptophyta; Magnoliopsida; Poales; Poaceae.
AUGCCAUCGGCAGCGCUGGCUGCCACGCCGGACUCUCCGUCGCCGUCGCCGCACCACUACCGCGGCCGGUUACGCUCGCCGCUGGCAAACGGCGGCACCAAGGGGAACUUCGAGCUCCGGCACUGGCGCACGCCGCUCAAGCGGGCUCCGUCGUGCCCCCCGCCGGGGAUCGAGAUACCCAGCAACGACGACGAUGGCAGCGGGAACGGGUACACCAGCCUCCGGGACAUCCUAGCGUCGCCGCGGUACACGGGGGCAGGGAGCUCGCCGGCGGCCUGCGUCAUCGGUGGCGCCGGCAGCUGUGGGGACAUACACAUGAUACGCCACCCGCUGGUAAAACACGCGGCGUACGCGUACCUGCAGAUGACGCCGUCGGCGAGGGAGGACCCAACCCGCCGGAACCGGCGCUGGCGCAGCCCGCUCUGCCGCCUCCUGUUCGGCUGCCUCAGCUUCAUCGGAGCACUCUUCCGGCCGUGA